GGAGGUGUGGCUGAGUGGUCGAAAGCACCGGUUUGCUAAAUCGGCGUAGGGGUCCCCCCUACCGCAGGUUCGAAUCCUGUCGCCUCCGC
RNAcentral lists this transfer RNA (89 nucleotides) under Botrimarina mediterranea. RNAcentral describes it as "Planctomycetes bacterium Spa11 tRNA-Ser". It matches the Rfam family "tRNA". Rfam says of the family: Transfer RNA (tRNA) molecules are approximately 80 nucleotides in length. The record is from RNAcentral. Lineage: Bacteria; Pseudomonadati; Planctomycetota; Planctomycetia; Pirellulales; Lacipirellulaceae.